This 311-nucleotide unclassified non-coding RNA is filed under the name plant metagenome. RNAcentral's name for it is "partial contains 5.8S ribosomal RNA, internal transcribed spacer 2, and large subunit ribosomal RNA". The stretch from base 1 to 107 matches the Rfam family "5.8S ribosomal RNA", at positions 48 to 154 of the family's 154-position model. The record is from RNAcentral.
GCGAAAUGCGAUAAGUAGUGUGAAUUGCAGAUUUCAGUGAAUCAUCGAAUCUUUGAACGUACAUUGCGCCCUUUGGUAUUCCGAAGGGCAUGCCUGUCUGAGCGUCAAUAAAUCAAUCAAACUUUUGUUUGGUAUUGGGAGAAGUGGUCUAUGCCACUCUUCUUAAAGCUAUUGGCGACACUAUUUUCAGUUUGUAAGAUGUAGUAAGAAAUUCCUCGUCGAAGCAACUGGAGUGGUUUGUCUGCCAACUGAACCGAUUUAUUUUACUGACUUGACCUCAGAUCAGGUAGGGAUACCCCCUGAACUUAAGC